RNAcentral lists this ribosomal RNA (229 nucleotides) under uncultured bacterium. Its description in RNAcentral is "partial 16S ribosomal RNA". It matches the Rfam family "Bacterial small subunit ribosomal RNA", at positions 104 to 334 of the family's 1533-position model. The record is from RNAcentral.
CGGGGUGAGUAAUGUAUGGGGAUCUGCCUGAUGGCGGGGGAUAACUACUGGAAACGGUAGCUAAUACCGCAUAAUGUCUGCGGACCAAAGCGGGGGACCUCCGGGCCUCGCGCCAUCAGAUGAACCCAUAUGGGAUUAGCUAGUAGGUAAGGUAACGGCUUACCUAGGCGACGAUCCCUAGCUGGUCUGAGAGGAUGACCAGCCACACUGGAACUGAGACACGGUCCAG